This 253-nucleotide ribosomal RNA is filed under the name uncultured bacterium. RNAcentral's name for it is "partial 16S ribosomal RNA". It matches the Rfam family "Bacterial small subunit ribosomal RNA", at positions 524 to 776 of the family's 1533-position model. The record is from RNAcentral.
UACAGGGGGGGCAAGCGUUGUUCGGAAUUACUGGGCGUAAAGGGCUCGUAGGUGGCCAACUAAGUCAGACGUGAAAUCCCUCAGCUUAACCGGGGAACUGCGUCUGAUACUGGAUGGCUUGAGUUCGGGAGAGGGAUGCGGAAUUCCAGGUGUAGCGGUGAAAUGCGUAGAUAUCUGGAGGAACACCGGUGGCGAAGGCGGCAUCCUGGACCGAUACUGACGCUGAGGAGCGAAAGCUAGGGGAGCAAACGGG